GACGAACGCUGGCGGCGUGCUUAACACAUGCAAGUCGAACGACGAAGCCGGAGCUUGCUCCGGUGGAUUAGUGGCGAACGGGUGAGUAACACGUGAGCAAUCUGCCCUUGACUCUGGGAUAACUGCGGGAAACUGUAGCUAAUACCGGAUACGCCACCUUGGGGCAUCCCAGGGUGUGGAAAGCAUUUCGGUCAAGGAUGAGCUCGCGGCCUAUCAGCUAGUUGGUGAGGUAAUGGCGCACCAAGGCGACGACGGGUAGCCGGCCUGAGAGGGUGACCGGCCACACUGGAACUGAGACACGGUCCAGACUCCUACGGGAGGCAGCAGUGGGGAAUAUUGCACAAUGGGCGAAAGCCUGAUGCAGCAACGCCGCGUGAGGGAUGAAGGCCUUCGGGUUGUAAACCUCUUUUAGCAGGGAAGAAGCGAAAGUGACGGUACCUGCAGAAAAAGCACCGGCUAACUACGUGCCAGCCGCCGCGGUAA
This 483-nucleotide ribosomal RNA is filed under the name uncultured bacterium. RNAcentral describes it as "partial 16S ribosomal RNA". It matches the Rfam family "Bacterial small subunit ribosomal RNA", at positions 28 to 523 of the family's 1533-position model. The record is from RNAcentral.